GGGGAAUAUUGGACAAUGGGCGAAAGCCUGAUCCAGCCAUGCCGCGUGAGUGAUGAAGGCCUUAGGGUUGUAAAGCUCUUUCAGUGGGGAUGAUAAUGACAGUACCCACAGAAGAAGCCCCGGCUAACUUCGUGCCAGCAGCCGCGGUAAUACGAAGGGGGCUAGCGUUGUUCGGAUUUACUGGGCGUAAAGCGCACGUAGGCGGAUUGUUAAGUUAGAGGUGAAAUCCUGGGGCUCAACUCCAGAACUGCCUUUAAUACUGGCAAUCUAGAGUCCGGAAGAGGUGAGUGGAACUCCUAGUGUAGAGGUGGAAUUCGUAGAUAUUAGGAAGAACACCAGUGGCGAAGGCGGCUCACUGGUCCGGUACUGUCGCUGAGGUGCGAAAGCGUGGGGAGCAAAC
This 400-nucleotide ribosomal RNA is filed under the name uncultured bacterium. RNAcentral describes it as "bacterial SSU rRNA". It matches the Rfam family "Bacterial small subunit ribosomal RNA", at positions 356 to 773 of the family's 1533-position model. The record is from RNAcentral.